RNAcentral lists this ribosomal RNA (397 nucleotides) under uncultured bacterium. RNAcentral's name for it is "partial 16S ribosomal RNA". It matches the Rfam family "Bacterial small subunit ribosomal RNA", at positions 360 to 775 of the family's 1533-position model. The record is from RNAcentral.
AAUAUUGCACAAUGGGGGAAACCCUGAUGCAGCGACGCCGCGUGAGCGAAGAAGGCCUUCGGGUCGUAAAGCUCUGUCCUAGGGGACGAUAAUGACGGUACCCUCGGAGGAAGCCCCGGCUACCUACGUGCCAUCAGCCGCGGUAAUACGUAGGGGGCGAGCGUUGUCCGGAAUUAUUGGGCGUAAAGGGUUCGCAGGCGGCCUUUUAAGUCAGAUGUGAAAGCCCACGGCUUAACCGUGGUAAGCAUUUGAAACUGGAAGGCUUGAGUUAAGGAGAGGAAAGUGGAAUUCCUAGUGUAGCGGUGAAAUGCGUAGAUAUUAGGAGGAAUACCAGUGGCGAAGGCGACUUUCUGGACUUAUACUGACGCUGAGGAACGAAAGCGUGGGGAGCAAACAG